This 425-nucleotide ribosomal RNA is filed under the name uncultured bacterium. Its description in RNAcentral is "partial 16S ribosomal RNA". It matches the Rfam family "Bacterial small subunit ribosomal RNA", at positions 354 to 796 of the family's 1533-position model. The record is from RNAcentral.
GUGGGGAAUCUUGCGCAAUGGGCGAAAGCCUGACGCAGCCAUGUCGCGUGAAUGAUGAAGGUCUUAGGAUUGUAAAAUUCUUUCACCGGGGACGAUAAUGACGGUACCCGGAGAAGAAGCCCCGGCUAACUUCGUGCCAGCAGCCGCGGUAAUACGAAGGGGGCUAGCGUUGCUCGGAAUUACUGGGCGUAAAGGGCGCGUAGGCGGACAGUUUAGUCAGAGGUGAAAGCCCAGGGCUCAACCUUGGAAUUGCCUUUGAUACUGGCUGUCUUGAGUACGGGAGAGGUGAGUGGAACUCCGAGUGUAGAGGUGAAAUUCGUAGAUAUUCGGAAGAACACCAGUGGCGAAGGCGACUCACUGGCCCGUUACUGACGCUGAGGCGCGAAAGCGUGGGGAGCAAACAGGAUUAGAAACCCGAGUAGUCC